RNAcentral lists this ribosomal RNA (1107 nucleotides) under Leuconostoc mesenteroides. RNAcentral's name for it is "bacterial SSU rRNA". It matches the Rfam family "Bacterial small subunit ribosomal RNA", at positions 44 to 1135 of the family's 1533-position model. Lineage: Bacteria; Bacillati; Bacillota; Bacilli; Lactobacillales; Lactobacillaceae. The record is from RNAcentral.
GUGCCAUACAUGCAAGUCGAACGCACAGCGAAAGGUGCUUGCACCUUUCAAGUGAGUGGCGAACGGGUGAGUAACACGUGGACAACCUGCCUCAAGGCUGGGGAUAACAUUUGGAAACAGAUGCUAAUACCGAAUAAAACUUAGUGUCGCAUGACACAAAGUUAAAAGGCGCUUCGGCGUCACCUAGAGAUGGAUCCGCGGUGCAUUAGUUAGUUGGUGGGGUAAAGGCCUACCAAGACAAUGAUGCAUAGCCGAGUUGAGAGACUGAUCGGCCACAUUGGGACUGAGACACGGCCCAAACUCCUACGGGAGGCUGCAGUAGGGAAUCUUCCACAAUGGGCGAAAGCCUGAUGGAGCAACGCCGCGUGUGUGAUGAAGGCUUUCGGGUCGUAAAGCACUGUUGUAUGGGAAGAACAGCUAGAAUAGGAAAUGAUUUUAGUUUGACGGUACCAUACCAGAAAGGGACGGCUAAAUACGUGCCAGCAGCCGCGGUAAUACGUAUGUCCCGAGCGUUAUCCGGAUUUAUUGGGCGUAAAGCGAGCGCAGACGGUUUAUUAAGUCUGAUGUGAAAGCCCGGAGCUCAACUCCGGAAUGGCAUUGGAAACUGGUUAACUUGAGUGCAGUAGAGGUAAGUGGAACUCCAUGUGUAGCGGUGGAAUGCGUAGAUAUAUGGAAGAACACCAGUGGCGAAGGCGGCUUACUGGACUGCAACUGACGUUGAGGCUCGAAAGUGUGGGUAGCAAACAGGAUUAGAUACCCUGGUAGUCCACACCGUAAACGAUGAACACUAGGUGUUAGGAGGUUUCCGCCUCUUAGUGCCGAAGCUAACGCAUUAAGUGUUCCGCCUGGGGAGUACGACCGCAAGGUUGAAACUCAAAGGAAUUGACGGGGACCCGCACAAGCGGUGGAGCAUGUGGUUUAAUUCGAAGCAACGCGAAGAACCUUACCAGGUCUUGACAUCCUUUGAAGCUUUUAGAGAUAGAAGUGUUCUCUUCGGAGACAAAGUGACAGGUGGUGCAUGGUCGUCGUCAGCUCGUGUCCUGAGAUGUUGGGUUAAGUCCCGCAACGAGCGCAACCCUUAUUGUUAGUUGCCAGCAUUCAGAUGGG